Molecule: ribosomal RNA, 279 nt
Filed under: uncultured bacterium
Lineage: Bacteria
Description: partial 16S ribosomal RNA
Rfam family: Bacterial small subunit ribosomal RNA
Source: RNAcentral
UGCCAGCCGCCGCGGUAAUACGGAGGGUGUAAGCGUUGUUCGGAAUUAUUGGGCGUAAAGCGCGUGUAGGCGGUUCGUUAAGUCUGAUGUGAAAGCCCGGGGCUCAACCUGGGAACUGCAUUCGAUACUGCUUCGCUAGAGUGUGUGAGAGGAAAGUGGAAUUCCGGGUGUAGCGGUGAAAUGCGUAGAGAUGUGGAGGAAUACCAGUGGCGAAGGCGGCCCCCUGGAUCGAUACUGACGCUGAGGUGCGAAAGCGUGGGGAGCAAACAGGAUUAGAUA